This 441-nucleotide ribosomal RNA is filed under the name uncultured bacterium. RNAcentral's name for it is "partial 16S ribosomal RNA". It matches the Rfam family "Bacterial small subunit ribosomal RNA", at positions 338 to 795 of the family's 1533-position model. The record is from RNAcentral.
CCUACGGGUGGCAGCAGUGGGGGAUAUUGCACAAUGGGGGGAACCCUGAUGCAGCGACGCCGCGUGAGUGAAGGAGUGCUUCGGUAUGUAAAGCUCUAUCGGCAGGGAAGAAGCAAGACGGUACCUGACUAAGAAGCCCCGGCUAACUACGUGCCAGCAGCCGCGGUAAUACGUAGGGGGCGAGCGUUAUCCGGAUUUACUGGGUGUAAAGGGAGCGUAGACGGCAAUGCAAGCCGGGGGUGAAAUCCCGGGGCUCAACCCGGGAACUGCUCUGGGAACUGUGUGGCUAGAGUGCGGGAGAGGCAAGCGGAAUUCCUAGUGUAGCGGUGAAAUGCGUAGAUAUUAGGAGGAACACCAGCGGCGAAGGCGGCCUGCUGGACCGCAACUGACGUUGAGGCUCGAAAGCGUGGGGAGCGAACAGGAUUAGAUACCCGAGUAGUC